GACAGAGGGUGCAAACGUUGUUCGGAUUUACUGGGCGUAAAGCGCACGUAGGCGGAUCGAUCAGUCAGGGGUGAAAUCCCAGAGCUCAACUCUGGAACUGCCUUUGAUACUGUCGAUCUGGAGUAUGGAAGAGGUGAGUGGAAUUCCGAGUGUAGAGGUGAAAUUCGUAGAUAUUCGGAGGAACACCAGUGGCGAAGGCGGCUCACUGGUCCAUUACUGACGCUGAGGUGCGAAAGCGUGGGGAGCAAACAGG
Molecule: ribosomal RNA, 253 nt
Filed under: uncultured bacterium
Lineage: Bacteria
Description: partial 16S ribosomal RNA
Rfam family: Bacterial small subunit ribosomal RNA
Source: RNAcentral